Small nuclear RNA from Octodon degus (degu), 107 nucleotides. Lineage: Eukaryota; Metazoa; Chordata; Mammalia; Rodentia; Octodontidae. The record is from Ensembl.
GUUCUUGCUUCAGUAGCACAUAUACUAAAAUUGGAAUGAUACAAAAAAGACUAGCAUGGCCUCGGCCCAAGGAUGACACGUAAAUUCGUGAAGCGUGCCAUAUUUUU